Arachis duranensis is the source of this 1030-nucleotide long non-coding RNA. RefSeq lists it as uncharacterized. The transcript is spliced from 2 exons. Lineage: Eukaryota; Viridiplantae; Streptophyta; Magnoliopsida; Fabales; Fabaceae. The record is from RefSeq and is a predicted model, not a curated record.
GAGUUCCCAAUUGAAAUGGUAAAGUAAGAGAGUCAAAGGAAGUGUAACGCUGGCAACACCAAAAGUCAUGCUAGGGCAUAUUCUUCUUCCUGCCCCAAAUGGUAAAUACUCAAAAUUAUUCCCUUUGAAGUCCAAAGAACUUUCUUCAAAUCUCUCAGGUAUAAAACUCUCAAGAGUCCAAAGAACUUUCUUCAAAUGUACGUGACCGGCCGGUUUUUUAAAUUUUGCAAAACGCUAUCGUUUUGCUGGGAUGCCCUAGCCCCUAGCCAAUUUCCCAACCCAGCAACCUUAGCUCCACACAAAGGCUAAACGCGAACCCAUCCCUCCAUCACCCUCGAGCUCCUCCUUCCUCUCACGUCAUCGAUCUCAUUCCCUCACCUCCGUCCAUCUCCCGCCGCCGUCGCCGAAACGAGCUUCGAAGCCACCGUCGUUAUCGUGCAGCUCUUUUCCACCAUCGUGCAGCUACUGUUUCAGCUUUGAAAGCACCGUUGCGCAGCUCGGUUCCAUCGUCGCCGGGCUUGCCUCCUUUUUCCGUCGCUCAGCUCUGUUCCAUCGUCGCCGGCGCUAUCUCUGUUCCACCUGUCAUCCCUUCGGUCGUACCCUUGUCCCCCUCUUGCUCAGGAUCUGCUCUGCUCUGUUCUAGGGCUUUUAGCUUCUAGAAGGUGAUGGGGUCUUUAGGCUUGAAUCUUUUGAAACUAAGUGGUGAACGUGGGGUAUGCCUGUUUUGUGUCUUCUUUUUCUUUGAGAACUUAGCUUUGCUAUGCUUGAUAAAUUGUGCCAAUUAUGCAUUUCCUGAAAUUGGUAUGCAGAUUCUAAAUAGUGCGUUUCAUGAGUCUGGUGUACUAAUUACAAAGUGGAGAGGGAUUGUAGAAUUUGUCACAUAGGUUUGGAGAGUGAUAGUUCUGAGUCUGGUGUUCCAAUUGAAUUGGGUUGUGCUUGUAAAGAUGAUUUUGUUGCUGCUCACAAAGUAUGUGCUGAGACAUGGUUUAAGAUUAAGGAGAAUUUGAGUAUAAAUCCCAUCUCUACUUUA